Molecule: transfer RNA, 62 nt
Filed under: Meghimatium bilineatum
Lineage: Eukaryota; Metazoa; Mollusca; Gastropoda; Stylommatophora; Philomycidae
Description: tRNA-Leu
Source: RNAcentral
AUAAUUGUGGCAGAAAAAGUGCACUGACUUUAAGCGUCAUAAAUGGAAUAUUCCCAAUUAAU